CCUGGCUCAGAUUGAACGCUGGCGACAGGCCUAACACAUGCAAGUCGAGCGGUAACAGGGGUAGCUUGCUACCCGCUGACGAGCGGCGGACGGGUGAGUAAUGCAUAGGAAUUUACCCGAUAGUGGGGGAUAACCUGGGGAAACCCAGGCUAAUACCGCAUACGUCCUACGGGAGAAAGGGGGCUCCGGCUCCCGCUAUCGGAUGAGCCUAUGCCGGAUUAGCUGGUUGGUGAGGUAAUGGCUCACCAAGGCGACGAUCCGUAGCUGGUCUGAGAGGAUGAUCAGCCACAUCGGGACUGAGACACGGCCCGAACUCCUACGGGAGGCAGCAGUGGGGAAUAUUGGACAAUGGGGGCAACCCUGAUCCAGCCAUGCCGCGUGUGUGAAGAAGGCCCUCGGGUUGUAAAGCACUUUCAGUGAGGAAGAACGCCUGAUGGUUAAUACCCGUCAGGAAAGACAUCACUCACAGAAGAAGCACCGGCUAACUCCGUGCCAGCAGCCGCGGUAAUACGGAGGGCGCAAGCGUUAAUCGGAAUUACUGGGCGUAAAGCGCGCGUAGGUGGCUUGAUAAGCCGGUUGUGAAAGCCCCGGGCUCAACCUGGGAACGGCAUCCGGAACUGUCAGGCUAGAGUGCAGGAGAGGAAGGUAGAAUUCCCGGUGUAGCGGUGAAAUGCGUAGAGAUCGGGAGGAAUACCAGUGGCGAAGGCGGCCUUCUGGACUGACACUGACACUGAGGUGCGAAAGCGUGGGUAGCAAACAGGAUUAGAUACCCUGGUAGUCCACGCCGUAAACGAUGUCGACCAGC
RNAcentral lists this ribosomal RNA (805 nucleotides) under uncultured bacterium. Its description in RNAcentral is "bacterial SSU rRNA". It matches the Rfam family "Bacterial small subunit ribosomal RNA", at positions 18 to 820 of the family's 1533-position model. The record is from RNAcentral.